AGGUCACUAGGAGCACUGGGAGCACUGGAAUUAUACUGGGAGCACUGGGAUCAUACUGGGAUGAUACUGGGACAUUACUGGGAGCACUGGGAGGUCACUGGGAGGUUACUGGGAGCACUGGGAGGUCACUGGGAGGUCACUGGGAGGUCACUGGGAGCACUGGGAGCACUGGGAUGAUACUGGGACAUUACUGGGAUCAUACUGGGAGGUCACUGGGACGUUACUGGGAGCACUGGGAGGUCACUGGGACGUUACUGGGAGGUUACUGGGAGCACUGGGCCGAUGCCCCCUCCCCUCCCCCCAGACCGGCCGGACCCCCCCCUCUCCCUGCGGCUCUCGGGGGCCUCCGAGACCUCCCUGAGCCUCUCGUGGGAGCCCGGCUUCGAUGGCGGCCUGGCCCAGCACUUCCUGCUCCGCGCUGAAGGCCCGGACGCCCCUCCCCCACCCGCCGCUUUCAUCACUUCCGGUUUUGCCCUGACGCUGGGCGGGCUCCGCCCGGCCACGCCCUAUGACGUCAUCGUGCGCGCCCGCAACGCCCGCGGCGACAGCGACCCCGCCCGGCUGCGCGCCGUCACUUCCGACCCGCCCGAAGCCCCGCCCCCUCUGUGGGAGGAGCCAGGGGAGGAGGCGGCCCCUGGAGGGGGGGAGGGGACGGCCCCUCCCCCACCCGGCCUGGUCGGGGCUCUGAGCGCGCUCGGGGGGCUCCUCCUGCCUGGCCUGGGGGGGGCGCUCUGCUACU
Molecule: long non-coding RNA, 739 nt
Filed under: Parus major (Great Tit)
Lineage: Eukaryota; Metazoa; Chordata; Aves; Passeriformes; Paridae
Description: lncRNA (ENSPMJG00000004534.1)
Source: RNAcentral